GACGAACGCUGGCGGCGCGCCUAACACAUGCAAGUCGAACGGAGCUGAGAGAAGCUUGCUUUUCUUAGCUUAGUGGCGAACGGGUGAGUAACGCGUGAGUAACCUGCCCUGGAGUGGGGGACAACAGUUGGAAACGACUGCUAAUACCGCAUAAGCCCACGAUCCGGCAUCGGAUUGUGGGAAAAGGAUUUAUUCGCUUCAGGAUGGACUCGCGUCCAAUUAGCUAGUUGGUGAGGUAACGGCCCACCAAGGCGACGAUUGGUAGCCGGACUGAGAGGUUGAACGGCCACAUUGGGACUGAGACACGGCCCAGACUCCUACGGGAGGCAGCAGUGGGGGAUAUUGCACAAUGGGGGAAACCCUGAUGCAGCGACGCCGCGUGGAGGAAGAAGGUUUUCGGAUUGUAAACUCCUGUCGUUAGGGACGAUAAUGACGGUACCUAACAAGAAAGCACCGGCUAACUACGUG
Molecule: ribosomal RNA, 468 nt
Filed under: uncultured bacterium
Lineage: Bacteria
Description: partial 16S ribosomal RNA
Rfam family: Bacterial small subunit ribosomal RNA
Source: RNAcentral